RNAcentral lists this ribosomal RNA (233 nucleotides) under uncultured bacterium. Its description in RNAcentral is "partial 16S ribosomal RNA". It matches the Rfam family "Bacterial small subunit ribosomal RNA", at positions 976 to 1207 of the family's 1533-position model. The record is from RNAcentral.
UGGGUUUGAACUGUACAGGCAAGUCUCAGAGAUGAGAGCCCCUCUUCGGAGGACUGUAUAGAGGUGCUGCAUGGCUGUCGUCAGCUCGUGUCGUGAGAUGUUGGGUUAAGUCCCGCAACGAGCGCAACCCUUAUUCAUAGUUACUAACGGGUCAAGCCGAGAACUCUAUGGAGACUGCCGGUGAUAAACCGGAGGAAGGUGGGGAUGACGUCAAGUCCUCAUGGCCUUUAUGU